GACGAACGCUGGCGGCGUGCCUAAUACAUGCAAGUUGAGCGCUGAAGGUUGGUACUUGUACCGACUGGAUGAGCAGCGAACGGGUGAGUAACGCGUGGGGAAUCUGCCUUUGAGCGGGGGACAACAUUUGGAAACGAAUGCUAAUACCGCAUAAAAACUUUAAACACAAGUUUUAAGUUUGAAAGAUGCAAUUGCAUCACUCAAAGAUGAUCCCGCGUUGUAUUAGCUAGUUGGUGAGGUAAAGGCUCACCAAGGCGAUGAUACAUAGCCGACCUGAGAGGGUGAUCGGCCACAUUGGGACUGAGACACGGCCCAAACUCCUACGGGAGGCAGCAGUAGGGAAUCUUCGGCAAUGGACGAAAGUCUGACCGAGCAACGCCGCGUGAGUGAAGAGGGGUUUCGGAUCGUAAAACUCUGUUGGUAGAGAAGAACGUUGGUGAGAGUGGAAAGCUCAUCAAGUGACGGUAACUACCCAGAAAGGGACGGCUAACUACGUG
RNAcentral lists this ribosomal RNA (497 nucleotides) under uncultured bacterium. RNAcentral's name for it is "partial 16S ribosomal RNA". It matches the Rfam family "Bacterial small subunit ribosomal RNA", at positions 28 to 507 of the family's 1533-position model. The record is from RNAcentral.